AAGGCGAUUCAGAUCUCAUGGUUACUUUUCAAUGUUUUUCUUGCUACGGAUGUCUCUUUUCAUUGGAUAAAUGAAGCAAUGCCCCCUUUCUGAAGCGUUUCGGAAGACAUGAAUAUUGUCUAUAUCCUAUAUGUUCAUACAGACAGUUGUAAUUAAUAUUUUUCACCCGAGGUGCUGACAUAGUGUAUCUUUGCCUUCUUUAUUUAGGUCUUCUGAUCACCUACGUUGCCUUGAAUCUUAUGGAUGGGCACGGGCAACCGGCUCUUCUUUACAUCGUGCCCUUCACGCUCGGUAAGGAAACCACGCCUUUGUGUCCGCCACUAAAUUCCAUAUCGCCAGAUUCUUGAGCACGUGCCUUGAACAAAACCGCCGUGUCCACCGCAGGAACUUUCAUAUUGCUCGGUAAAAAGCGGGGCGAGCUCAGGAACCUCUGGAUGAAAGGACAGCCUCCGAGAGUCUGCACGCAUUCGCAUCAUCCUCUGAAGGACUCCACGGACUCCGCUUCUCAUGUAAUCUCAUCAUAGGUAGCGGCUCCCCGAAUGCUGCAUCGUAGGGCAAUGGUUCCUUGUCUGGAGGUGAAAGCACGGCUCCGCGGAUCUGUUGUGUGACCCUGUUCCGUGGGUGUAGUAGCAUCUAAUAUGGAUCUGUUGUCAUUAGAACCAAUCCAUUAGAAUUGUAUAUAGAUAGAGCCUUGUCGUUUGCUUCUCUUGUUGUUGUUUCAUCUACCUGUGUACCUGGAGAGUAGUACCUCCUUUCCGGUUUGUUUGAAAGGCCCCUGUGUAUCCCUAGAACGACAAUUUGACCGACAUAAUGGAAGUUAUAUGUUAUAAAAAAUAUCGCUACAAAUGCUAUAUUUUCCUAAUGGUAUAAAUGUUGUAUAUGCAGUUAAUUAAUUGGUAAAAGUGAUGACGCGCGGAAACUAAAAACCGGAAUGGAUGGAGUAUUGCCUCCCAUCGAAAGAGACCAAAAGAGAAUUAUUUGACAUGGCAUACAUCAGGAAAUUUUGUCCAAAAAGAUUCAACCAGUAUAUCCAUGUUGACUUGAGAGAGAGGUACCUAGGUUGAGCUGCUGUCUCGUAGACUCUCGUGUGGCGGCUGAGACUGGGAACGGGAGGGCUGCUGUCUCGUAGCACUCACGAGGAGACUCUCGUGUGGCGGCUGAGACUGGGAACGGAGGGCUGGAUGCCUGCUUCUAGGCCAGUCCCUUCACAUGGGCUUGGGCCCUAAAAGAUAAGAGGAUGAGUUUGGGCCCAUACUGGUUCAACACUCCCUCUCAAGAUGGGUGGUAGAUAUCUAUCAUUCCCUUCUUGUCACACGCUAAGUCACAGUCCUUUAUUUCCAGUCCCUUUGUCAAGCAAUAUGUAUAUUGUUGCCCAGAGCUGACAUGAGUAAGGCUGAUGAUCCCAACAUCAAGUUUCUCUUUAAUGAAGAAGCGGUCAAUUUUCGCAUGCUUUGUCCUAUCAUGUUGAACUGGGUUAUAGCAAUGGCUAUAGCUGACCCUCAGAAGUUUUAACUCGCUCAGUAGGAACUUCAUCUAGAGUAUCUCACACAACCCUUGAGAUAAUGCUCUAUACUCAGCUUUUGCUGUUGAUCUAGACACAACCGGUUGUUUCUUGCUUCUCCAUGACAUCAAAUUCCCUCCCAUAAACACGCAACAGUGAGAAGUUGAUCUUAUAUCAUAUUGACAACUAGCCCAAUCAGAGUCACUAUAGCCAUUCACCUCAAGAUUUCCACUCUUUCCAAACCACAACCCUUUAUCCAGAGUCCCCUUCAAGUAUCUCAUGAUUUUGUGCACAAUAUCAAGAUGCCCACUCCUUGGUUCAUGCAUGUAUCUGUUCACCACCCCCACGGCAUAUGUAAUGUCAGGCCUGGUAUGACAUAACUACAACAACCCCCAGUGUCGGUGUUUACUCACAAAAUAUGUCAUGAGUAGGCUAAAGAUGGUGGGAACCGAGAUGACACCGGAGGGCGCUGGGGACGAGGUUGGUACAAGCAUGGAAGGCACGAUGUACCCAGGUUUAGGGCUCUCCGUAGAGAUAACACCCCUAAUCUUGCCGGAAUGUAUAAUGCACCAAGGUGGCUACAAUGUGCUCCCGGAGCUGUUCUACGGAGGAGGAAGAAGGAGCUUCCGGCUCGCGUCUACCUCUCCUAUAUGGGUGUGUGAGUGUUGGAUUGACCGACCCUUGCAUGGAGGGGGUCGGGGGGUUUUGACGAACCCACCGACCUACAAUAAGGAUAAAAGUACAUGAGUGGGACUCGGCUGGCAGCUUCGCCGGCUGGCCAGGGGGCCCACAAUGGUCUUGUCUUGUCGCUGGAGGGCCCCGCCGUCUAUGAGGUCCUAUCUGGCUAUGGGACCAGUCGGCUAGCCAGUGAGGCUCUUGCGUAGAGCCGACGCAGGACACGUGUCGUACGUCCGACGUCGUCUUGCGAGAUUCGUCAUGGCUCGCCAGUACGGCCGUCUCCACUGUUCCCACGCCGAGUGUUAUAAUGGAGUGGGUGUUCGAUGGCCUGAGACUGUGCACGAUUGACGGAUCGGAGCCGGGGUAGGUCAGCGGCAUGGCCGCUGACACUUUGCCUGCCGUGUGCUCCAAUCUUGUACCUUGGCUGACGCGUAUUCACCUUUAACCGUAGGGCAUCGUCAUGACCUACGAUCUCAUGUGACUUGUGCUCCCUAGCCGUCUAGCCGCCUCACUAGCCGUCCUGGGAACGACUGUCUCGCCUCUAGCCGACCGGCAUGGCUCAAACGGCCAGAGGGAGGUAGCCGUCUCGUCCCUAGCCGGCAGGAGCUUCCUAGCCGGCCAGGGAGAUUCGGUCGUCUCGCCCCUAGCCGGCAGGAGCUUCCUAGCCGGCCAGGGGGAUUGGGCCGCGUAGAAUGAGUUGUGCUUUUCCUCCAAGGUAGAAGGCAAAGGAGUAGGCUCGAUGAGCCUACCCCGGGGUUAUCCCCCCAUCACCCAAGCAAUUUCUGAUAAUCUUCCUUAUUCACUAGCUCUCCUGAUUGUGCUGUAACUUGGUGAUUUUGUUCAAUCGGAGUAGGGGCAGCACGACAUCCCAUCAUGCCCAUGUCACUCAAGAGAUCCAAGGUGUAUUUUCGUUGGCACAUAUAGAUUUCCUUCUCUGUCUGGGCCACUUCAAUACCAAGGAAGUAUUUUAGGUUACCCAAAUCCUUUACCUCGAACUCCUUGCUCAGACAACCCUUCAAUCUCUCUAUUACCUCCUUAUCAUCUCCAGUGGUGAUAAUGCCAUCCACGCAAACAACAAGAAUGGUGGUCUGCCAAGCAGAGUGCUUAUAGAACAUGGUGUGGUCCCCGUUCCACUGACCAUACCCCAUACCACGGACGACACGUCUGAACCUAUCAAACCAUGCCCUUGGUGAUUGCUUCAGUCCAUACAAGGAUUUCUUCAGCCUGCAUACCUCCCCGUAGUCUCUGAAGUACUAAAACCAGGUGGUAUCUCCAUGUACACUUCUUCCUGUAACUCACCAUGCAAGAAGGCAUUCUUGACAUCUAAUUGAUGAAACUUCCACCCAAAAUUAGCAGCACAAGAGACCAAUAUCCUCACUGUGUUCAUCUUUGCCACAGGAGAAAACGUCUCAUCAUAGUAAAUUUCAUAAGUUUGACUAUAGCCUCUGGUGACCAAUCUGGCCUUAUACCGUUUCACCUCCCCCUCAGGAUUCUGCUUCAGUGUAUAGAUCCACAUACAACUCAAUGCUUUCUUUUCUAUCGGUAAUGUGGUUAGCACCCACGUCUUGUUUUUCCUCAGUACUUCCAACUCUUCUACCAUCGCUUACGCUACUUUGGAUCUUGCUUUGCAGCAUUCCAAUCCUUUGGAAUUGACACAGUUUGUAAGGAGGCAACACACGCCUUAUAUGAAGGUGACAAAGUCUUAUAAGACACAAAAUUCCCAAUAUUAAGAUCAUCAGAAGCAUCAUCCUUUGGUAGAGCCUUCCUUGCUACUUCACCCUUUCUUGUCGCUUCACGUGUAGACUUUCACAACGCAAUGGGCAGCUGCACUGCGUGAGAUGAGCUUGCCUCACUCCCUUGUUGCUCCCCCUGCACUCUUGCUUCACCGCCUUGUUGCUCCCCCUGCACUCUUGCCUCACUGCCUUGUUGCUCCCCCUGCAUGUGUGGUUGCCGUCAAGAGUACACCAAGGUAUUGUGACAGCCCGAGACCGACGCUCCAGAAGAUUUCCCUUUUGUUCCAUUGUCGCCCUGUGAUUAUUUGUUUGUUACAUUCAUCAUGUCAUCAUGCCAUCAUGUCAUUAAAUUUUUCUGCACCCAAAUAAAUAAAUUGCAUGGAUCUUGGAUCUAUUUAAAUUGAGGGAUUCACAUGAUGAUUCUCUUUAUAACAUAUCCUCCUAAUAUUUUAGGGAGCUACUUUAAAAUAUUCCAUUAUUUUGGAAUCACCCAUGAACAGACUUACAUUUUAAAUCCCAUGCUUUUCUACUCCUAGUUUGGUCCCCGAACCUUGCGGUCAUUCUAUCAUCUUUUUCCCAAGCUCCUCCUAGAUUAACAACAUUUUUGGACCUUCCAAUGCCCACUUCUUAUUCAAACUCAUUUGAGUUUAAUUCAAAUAAGUUCGAAUUAAAACUUCAUUCAUGCUCAUUUCUAUAUUUCUUGGGUCAAGCUCAUUUUGUGAGUCCAAGAAAAUAAUCCCCAUGUCUAAAUUCUUUCCUAACCCUCUCUUUCUUCUCUUCAUUCAACAUUUUGUUUUGUUUUUUUUCUUAAAUCAGUGGAGAGAGAGAGGCCCACCCCACCUGAAGGCCACCUAUCUUACCUGUUGAUGCAGCCCAGUUAGCCCAGUGAUACGUCUCUGAUACGUCUCCAUCGUAUCUACUUUUCCAAACUCUUUUGCCCUUGUUUUGGACUCUAAUUUGCAUGAUUUGAAUGGAAGUAACCCGGACUGACGCUGUUUUUAGCAGAAUUGCCAUGGUGUUGUUUUUGUGCAGAAAUGAAAGUUCUCGGAACGUCUUGAAAAUUUACGGAGAAUAUUUCUGGAAAAUAUGAAAAAUACCUGCGCAAAGAUCCACCGGAGGGGACGGGCCAGUGGGCCACAAGCCCUGUAGCCGCGGCCUCCCCCUGGUCACGGCUACCAGGCUUGUGGGGCCCACGUGGCUCUGCCGCCCCUAAUUCCAGCGCUAUUUAUUCCCUUUCAUCCCGGAAAAAUUCAAGAGAGAAGAGUUCAUCGCGUUUCACGAUCCAGAGGCGCCGCCACAUCCCGUUCUUGCCCUCGAGGGCAGAUCUGGAGUCCGUUUUGGGCUUCAGAUCAAGGAGAUCGUCACCAUCGUCAUCAUCAACCUUCUUCCCUCUCCAAUUCCAUGAAGCUCUUCAUCGUUCGUGAGUAAUCUAUUCGUAGACUCGCUGGGCGGUGAUGAGUAGGAUGAGAUCUAUCAUGUAAUCGAGUUAGUUUUGACGGGGAUUGAUCCCUAGUAUCCAUUAUGUUCUGAGAUUGAUGUUGCUACUACUUUGCCAUGCUUAAUGCUUGUCACUAGGGCCCGAGUGCCAUGAAUUCAGAUCUGAAAUUAUUAUGUUGUCACCAAUAUAUGUGUGUUUUAGAUCCGAUCUUGCAAGUUGUAGUUACCUACUAUGUGUUAUGAUCCGACAACCCCGGAGUGACAAUAACCGGAACCACUCCCGGUGAUGACCAUAGUUUGAGGAGUUCAUGUGUUCACCAAGUGCUAAUGCGUUGGUCUGGUUCUUUAUUAAAAGGAGAACCUUAAUAUCCCGUAGUAUCCAUUUGGACCCCGGUGCCACGGGAGGGAUGGACAAUAGAUGUCAUGCAAGUUCUUUUCCCUAAGCACAUAUGACUACACACGGAAUGCAUGCCUCUAUCACAUUGACGAACGGGAGCUAGUCACAUAUCUCUCCGUGUUAUUACUGUUGCAUGAUGAAUGUCAUCCAACAAAUCACCGAUCCAUUGCCUAUGAGUUUGUCCCACUGCCACUGUUACUUGCUCUGCCGUCACUACUGUUGCUACUACUGUUACUUGCUAUUGCUGUUACUUGCUACUGCUGCUACUUGCUACUGUUGUCACUAUUGUUGUUCCUUGUCACUGUUGUUACUCAUUACACUGCUACUACCUGCUACAAUACUUUUCUGGCGCCAUUGAUACUUCAGUUAGGAAUAAUCCGCCGUCAACAGAUUCUUUCCUAGCACCGUUGCUAUCAUACUACCUUUGCUGCUUAUACCCUGCUUGCAGAUACUAAUCUUUCAGGUGUGGUUGAGCCGACAACUCAACUGCUAAUACUGGAGAAUAUCCUUUCACUCCCAUCAUGUCAAACCAACAAAUUUGGGUUGAAUACUCUACCCUCGGAAACUGCCGCGAUCCCACACGCUGGUGGGCCAUUGCAAGACAAUUGCUAAUUGUUGAGCAACUGGAAGCAGCUAUUUUCUGGCGCCGUUGCCGGGGAGGAUAGCUAUAUUCUCUGAGUCACUUGGGAUUUAUAUCUGCUGAUCACUAUGAAGAAUCUAAAAGAUCCAAGAACCAAAGUCUUGCCCUCAACUACGAGGGGAGGUAAGGAACUGCCAUCUAGCUCUGCACUUGAUUCACCUUCAGUUAUGAGUAAGUUUGCGACACCACCUCCUACUAGAAAUCUUGAUAUGUCGCCUGUGCUAGAUGAUGGUAGAGAUGCUACUCUAUUGAUGAUGAUUAUGAUGCUACUAUGCCUGAUACUGCGAGAGAUGCUACUGCUAUUGAUGAUGCUUAUGAUGCUACUAUGCCUGAUACUGCUAGAGAUGCUAUGUCUGAUACUGCUAGAGAUGCUAUGCUUGAUACUGCUUUGCCUGAUGAUGCUAGAGAUGCUAUUUUGCCUGAUGAUGCUAUGCUUGAUACUGCUAGAGAUACUACUUUGCCUGAUGUGCCACUAGGGGUAUUCCUUGAUGCUCAAAUUGCUAGAGUUACUGCCAAUGCUCGUGAUGCUUCUGAAACUGCCGAUACUAUUGAGAUAGAACCUGCUUUUGCUCCUGCUAGAUCUAGCUCUCCUAGAUAUGAAUUGCCUGAUAUACCUGAGGGUUAUGUUAUGGAGGGAGAUAUAGCUGAGGAUUUUCUUGCGUGUAAGGAUGCCUAUGACGCUGAGAAAUUAAUUCUCAAGUGGAAGGAAAAAUCUCUGAAAGCUAGGAUGAAAUACGACCCGAAGUUUGCCACUUCACCUGUCUUUAUCACCGAUGAGGAUUAUGAAUUCUCUGUCGACCCUGAGAUAAUCUCUCUAGUCGAAUAUGAUCCUUUCCAUAGUUAUGAGUCUGAGACAGUCGUAGCCCAUCUUACCAAACUACACGAUAUAGCCACCCUUUUCACUAGUGAGGAGAAGAUCCGCUACUACUAUAUCCUUAAGCUGUUUCCUUUAUCUAUAAAGGAUGACGCUAAAGCCUGGUUCACUUCUCUUGCUCUUGGAUGUGUGAGUAGUCGCCAGGAUAUGGUCUAUUACUUCUGUGAGAAAUAUUUCCCUGCCCAUAAGAAGCAAGCUGCCUUGCAGGAAAUAUACAACUUUGCUCAACUCAAAGAAGAGAGUCUCCCACAAGCUUGGGGGAGGCUCAUCCAGCUACAGAAUGCUUUUCCUGAUCACCCUCUUAAGAAGAACGAGAUACUUGAUAUCUUCUAUAACGGACUUACCGAUGCUUCUAGGGACCACCUAGAUAGUUGUGCCGGUUGUGUUUUUAGGGAACGAACUAUAGAACAAGCUGAGAUUCUACUGAAUAACAUCUUGAUCAACGAUAAUGCUUGGACUAUUACCGAACCACCUCCUAAGCCAACUCCUAAGAAAAGAGGUAUUCUAUUCCUCAGUCCCGAAGAUAUGCAAGAAGCCAAGAAAUCUAUGCAAGAGAAAGGCAUUAGAUUCGAAGAAGUCAAAAAUCUACCGCCCAUCGAAGAGAUCCGUGGUCUCGAUAACCCGAUACAAGUAGUAGAGGUGAAUUCUCUGCGUAGAUUCAAUGAGAGUGAUAUUCCUUUUGACAAACCUGCUAGCCUAUGCUUUGAUGAAUUUGACAACUUUGUUGCCAAACAACAGAGUUUCAAUGAUUAUGUUAGCAGACAAUUGGAACAAAGUACUCGCAUGCUUAGUCAUUUAAGUGCUUGUGUAGAUAGAAAUGUCAAUGAUCUGAAGCUUCUGAGUAAACAUGCCUCUAUGAUUACUACUCAGGUAGAACAAGUACUUAAAGCUCAGAAUGACUUGCUCAAUGAAUUAAAUGACAACUCUGUCAGAGUCAUUACUGGAGGAGGCAAAAUGACCCAGGAACCUUUGUAUCCUGAAGGCCAUCCUAAGAGAAUUGAUCAAGAUUCUCAAGGAAUUAAUGCUGAUACACCCAGUCAUCCUAAGAAUAAGAAGAAGGAUGAUAGAAACCUAUAUGUCAGUUCACCAAAUACUAUCACACCUAAAGAACCAAAUGAUAUUUCUGCGUCUGAUGCAGAAACACAAUCUGGUGAUGAACAUGAAUCUGGUGACAAUAUGGACAGCGAUGUUCAUAAUAAUGCUCAACCUAGCAAUGAGAAGGAUGUGGAGAUUGAACCUACGGUUAAUCCUGAUAACCCACAACCUAAGAGAUAUGAUAAGAAUGACUUCACUGCUAGGAAGAAUGGUAAAAAAAGGGAGCCAUGGGUUCAGAGACCCAUGCCCUUUCCUCCUAAGCCAUCCAAGAAAAAGGAUGAUGAGGAUUUUGAACGCUUUAUUGAAAUGUUGAGACCCGUCUUUCUGCAGAUGUAGUUAAUUGAUAUGCUCAAAAUGUCUCCAUAUGCCAAGUACAUGAAAGAUAUCGUGACUAAUAAACGGAAGAUACCAGAUCUUGAGAUCUCCACCAUGCUCGCUAAUUACACUUUCAAAGGUGGAACUCCUAAGAAACUUGGUGACCCCGGAGUGCCCACUAUACCUUGCUCCAUUAAAGGAAACUACGUAAGAAAUGCCUUAUGUGACCUUGGAGCCGGUGUUAGUGUUAUGCCUCUCUCUCUUUAUCAUAGACUUGAACUGGAUAAGUUGACACCCACUGAAAUCUCUCUGCAAAUGGCCGACAAAUCAACUGCUUUCCCUGUCGGCAUUUGCGAGGAUGUGCCUGUUGUGGUUGCUAACACCACUAUCUUAACAGACUUUGUUAUCUUGGAUAUUCCUGAGGAUGAUGCCAUGGCUGUCAUCCUCGGAAGACCCUUUUUAAACACUGCAGGGGCUGUUAUAGAUUGCAACAAAGGCAAUGUCACCUUCCAUGUCAACGGUAAUGAGCAUACAAUGCACUUUCCGAAGAAACGAUAUCAAGUACAUUGCAUCAAUGCUAUCGAAAAAAGUUCAUCGAUUCUUAUUGGGAGCUUUGAAUGCCCUAUUCCUCGUGUUAAGAUGAAGUAUGAUUUGCUUGUUGGGGAGAUUCAUAUCCCCAUUGAGGUGACUUAGUGGCUAGUCGACUAUUCUCCGUUUCUUUUUGCGAUUUGAAGAAGUUUUGUCAUGAGGAUUUGAUCAACCCCAUUGACGGAUUUCUUUCGAUGACCAUGAAAUGGAUGAAUCAAAGAGUCACAUACCUUUGUUUUAAGCUUUCACUUUUUGUUGCUUAGAAGAAAAAUGAUAGAUUUAGUUUAGUUUUUCCAGUUUUCUGUUUUAGCGUCCCGGAGAAAAGUACCCCAAAAAUAAAAGUUCUUCGAUGGUCCUGAAAAUCAAAUAUGAUUUUUUCUGGAUUUUUUGAAAAAUACUGGGACUGAGAGCUGGCCUGGGGGCCACACCAGUGGGCCACAAGCCCUGUAGCCGCGACCUCCCCCUGGCCGCGGCUACCAAGCUUGUGGGCCCCACAGGGACCCCCUACACUCAUUCCAGCUCCCAUCCUCUUCUUCUACCUCCAGAAAAAAUCGUUUCGCAGCUCAAAACUGUGUUCUUGCUCAUUUGGCUGUGAUUUUUGAUCUCCUUGCUCAAAGCACCAUUCUCCGAACCGUUUUGGGGAAAUUACUCCUUGGUAAGUGACUCCUCCAUUGGUCCCAUUAGUUUCUACUCUAGUGCUUUAUCCUUCGCGUAUUCUUGCUACCUUGGUGACCCUGUUCUUGAGCUUGAAAUGUUGAUUUUAGCUGGUCCCAAGUAGUUUUAGCGCGUGAUACGGUCUCUAGGCACUAGUAGGAGUAGUUGCUACGAGUUGGGUUAAUCCUUACUCACUUUUAUUUCAAAGUCUCUAAAAAUUUCAGAAUUUUUUCAGAGUUAGAAAAGAGAAAAUAUGAGGAGGUUCUUGAGAGGCUCUUCAAGCCGUAAUCCCAAGGAGGAUGAGAAGAACCACCCCAAGUACGUGGUUCCUCGAGUCACAGAAGUUCGAGCGUGCGAGUGGCCAAGUGAUGAAUUUUUGCGCGCCGCUGGGCUUAUGAAGACUUUUAUUACUUGGUGGAGAACGUAGGUCUUACCGCAUUCGUUGAAGAUAAGUGCCCACAAUACCUCCUCCUCACCAAUAUUUUCGUUCAAAGCUUCAACUUUUAUCCGAGGAAGAAUCCUCCUAUGGUUGAGUUCAUGUUAUACGAUAUCCCCCAGCACAUGAUGCUACUGCGACAACAGACCUUCCCUGGCAACGACGCUACGAAUCCUGUGUUGGAAUUAUGCCCUAGAGGCAAUAAUAAAUAUAGUUAUUAUUAUAAUUCCUGUAUCAAGAUAAUCGUUUAUUAUCCAUGCUAUAAUUGUAUUGAAUGAAGACUCAUUUACAUGUGUGGAUACAUAGACAAAACACUGUCCUUAGCAAGCCUCUAGUUGGCUAGCCAGUUGAUCAAAGAUAGUCAGUGUCUUCUGAUUAUGAACAAGGUGUUGUUGCUUGAUAACUGGAUCACGUCAUUAGGAGAAUCACGUGAUGGACUAGACCCAAACUAAUAGACGUAGCAUGUUGAUCGUGUCAUUUUGUUGCUACUGUUUUCUGCGUGUCAAGUAUUUGUUCCUAUGACCAUGAGAUCAUAUAACUCACUAACACCGAAGGAAUACUUUGUGUGUAUCAAACGUCGCAACGUAACUGGGUGACUAUAAAGAUGCUCUACUGGUAUCUCCGAAGGUGUUCGUUGAGUUAGUAUGGAUCAAGACUGGGAUUUGUCACUCCGUGUGACGGAGAGGUAUCUCGGGGCCCACUCGGUAAUACAACAUCACACACAAGCCUUGCAAGCAAUGUAACUUAGUAUAAGUUGCGGGAUCUUGUAUUACGGAACGAGUAAAGAGACUUGCCGGUAAACGAGAUUGAAAUAGGUAUGCGGAUACUGACGAUCGAAUCUCGGGCAAGUAACAUACCGAAGGACAAAGGGAAUGACAUACGGGAUUAUAUGAAUCCUUGGCACCGAGGUUCAAACGAUAAGAUCUUUGUAGAAUAUGUAGGAUCCAAUAUGGGCAUCCAGGUCCCGCUAUUGGAUAUUGACCGAGGAGUCUCUCGGGUCAUGUCUACAUGGUUCUCGAACCCGCAGGGUCUGCACACUUAAGGUUCGACGUUGUUUUAUGCGUAUUUGAGUUAUAUGGUUGGUUACCGAAUGUUGUUCGGAGUCCCGGAUGAGAUCACGGACAUCACGAGGGUUUUCGGAAUGGUCCGGAAACGAAGAUAGAUAUAUAGGAUGACCUCAUUUGAUUACCGGAAGGUUUUCGGAGUUACUGGGAAUGUACCGGGAANAAUGUACCGGGAAUGACGAAUGGGUUCCGGGAGUUCACCGGGGGGGGGGGGCAACCCACCCUGGGGAAGCCCAUAUGCCUUGAGGGUGGCGCACCAGCCCUUAGUGGGCUGGUGGGACAGCCCAAAAGGGCCCUAUGCGCAUUGGAAGAAAAAUCAAAGAGAAAAAAAAGGAGGAGGUGGGAAAGGAAAGAAGGACUCCACCCACCAAACCAAGUAGGACUCGGUUUGGGGGGGGGGGGAGUCCUUCCCCCCUUUGGCUCGGCCGACCCCCUUGGGGCUCCUUGAGCCCCAAGGCAAGGUCCCCCCUCUCCCACCUAUAUAUACGGAGGUUUUAGGGCUGAUUUGAGACGACUUUUUCACGGCAGCCCGACCACAUACCUCCACGGUUUUUCCUCUAGAUCGCGUUUCUGCGGAGCUCGGGCAGAGCCCUGCUGAGACGAGAUCAUCACCAACCUCCGGAGCGCCGUCACGCAGCCAGAGAACUCUUCUACCUCUCCGUCUCUCUUGCUGGAUCAAGAAGGCCGAGAUCAUCGUCGAGCUGUACGUGUGCUGAACGCGGAGGUGCCGUCCGUUCGGCACUAGAUCGUGGGACUGAUCGCGGGAUAGUUCGCGGGGCGGAUCGAGGGACGUGAGGAUGUUCCACUACAUCAACCGCGUUCACUAACGCUUCUGCUGUACGGUCUACAAGGGUACGUAGAUCACUCAUCUCCUCUCGUAGAUGGACAUCACCAUGAUAGAUCUUCGUGCGCGUAGGAAAAGUUUUGUUUCCCAUGCGACGCUCCCCAACAUCCUGCUGCUACGGCUACGCCUGUAGGGACUUCCUUAUCAAAUAUGCAAAGGAUUUCCCCGCGGCCUUGGAGCCUUGCGUUGGUGUUCCCUUGAAGAGGAAAGGGUGAUGUAGCACAGCGGCGGUAAGUAUUUCCCUCAGUUUGAGAACCAAGGUAUCAAUCUAGUAGGAGGAGAGCUCAAGUCACAAGUACCUGCACAAACACAACGAGCUUGCACCCAACGCUAUGAAGGGGUUGUCAAUCCCUUAUAGAUUGUUUGCAAAGUGAGAACUGAAAGCAAAGAGAAAACAAAGCAAAGUAAAGGUGAAAGUGGAAACGAUAGUUGUGAAUAGACCCCGGGGCCGUAGUGUUCACUAGUGGCUUCUGUCAUGAAAGCAAGUAGAUGGUGGGUGAACAAAUUACUGUUGAGCAAUUGAUAGAACCGCGCAAAGUCGUGACGUUAUCUAAGGCAAUGAUUAUAUCUAUAGGCAUCACGUCCAAAACAAGUAGACCGAUACUUUCUGCAUCUACUACUAUUACUCCACAUGUCGACCGCUAUCCAGCAUGCAUCUAGUGUAUUAAGUUCAAAAGAACAGAGUAACACCUUAAGCAAGAUGACAUGAUGUAGAUGGACAAUCUCAUAUCUACGAUAAAAGCCCAUCUUGUUACCCUUGAUGGCAACAACACGAUGCGUGCCUUGCUGCCCCUUCUGUCACUGGGAAAGGUCACCACACGACAUGAACCCAAAACCAAGCACUUCUCCCAUUGCAAGAAUCAUAGAUCUAGUUGGCCAAACAAAACCCAAGACUCGGACAGACUUACAAGGAUAUCAAAUCAUGCAAAUAAUAAAUCAACAAAGACUCAAAUAUAUUUCAUAGAUAAUCUCAUCACAAAUCCACAAUUCAUCGAAUCUCGAUAGACACACAUCGAAAGAAGAUUACAUCGGAUAGAUCUCCAUGAAGAUCAUGGAGAACUUUGUAUUGAAGAUCCAAGAGAGAGAAGAAGCCAUCUAGCUACUAACUACGGACCCGUAGGUCUAAAGUGGACUACUCACGAGUCAUUGGAGAGUCGAUGAUGUUGAUGUAGAAGCCCUCCAACUCCAAAGUCCCCUCCGGCAGCGCACCGGGAAGGGUCUCCAGAUGAGAUCUCUCGGAAACGGAAGCUUGCGGCGGCGGAAAAGUGUUUUCGUGGAUGCCCUGAUUUUUUCUGGAUUUUUAGGAAAUUUAUAGGCCAAAGAGCUAGGGCAGGGGAGCGCAAGGGAGGCCACAAGCCUGGUUGCCGCGCCCCCUGCCCGCGGCAACAGGGCUUGUGGGCUCCCUGUGGGCCCUCUGCCUUGGCCCUCACGUCCCCCGAUCUUCUUCUGUUCUGGAAAAAUUUAUUUCGGGGAUUUUAUUCCGUUUGGACUCCGUUCGAAAAUCAGAUCUGAAAAGAGUCAAAAACACAGAAAAAACAGGAACUGGCACUUGGCACUGAAUUAAUAAGUUAGUCCCAAAAAAGAUAUAAAAGGUAUACAAAACAUCCAAAGUUGACAAGAUAACAUCAUGAAACCAUAAAAAAUUAUAGAUACGUUUGAGACGUAUCAAGCAUCCCCAAGCUUAACUCCUGCUCGUCCUCGAGUAGGGAAGUGAUAAAGAAUGAAUUUUUGAUGCUUUCAUGCUACCUAGCAUAGAUGUCCUUUGUAACUCCUCUUAUAUGACGUGAAUGUUCAGAUCCAUUAGAUUCAAAACAAUAGUUUGCUAUUGACGUGGAGACAAUAAUACUUCAAGCAAACUAGCAAGGUAAUCAUGAAAUUUCAAAAUAACAAGGCCAAAAGAAAGUUAUCCCUACAAAAUCGUAUAGUCUGGUUAUGCUCUAUCAUCCUUGCACAACGAAUUUAAAUCAUGCACAACCCCAGUAUUGGCCAAGUAAUUGUUUUCACACCUUUACUUUCUCAAACCUUUUCAACUUUCACGCAAUACAUGAGCGUGAGCCAUGGUUUUAGCACUAAAAGUGGUGUGGAGUGCGGUGGAGGUUGCAAGACAAACAAGGAGAAGAUGGUCACAUUGACUAGGCAUAUCAAUGAGCUAUAGAGAUGCUCAUCAAUAGAUAUCAACGUGAAUGAGUAGGGAUUGCCAUACAAAUGAUGCACUAGAGCUAAGAGUAUGUGAAAGCUCUUAAAGAAAACUAGUGGGUGUGCAUCCAACUUGCUUGCUCACGAAAACCUAAGGCAAUUUUAAGGAAGCCUAUCAUUGGAAUAUACAAGCCAAGUUAUAUAAUGAAAAUUCCCACUAGCUAUAAGGUGGUGACAAAACGAGAGACUCUCAAUCAUGAAGAUCAUGGUGCUUACAAGCACAAGUGUGGAAAGAUAGUAGCAUUGUCCCUUCUCUCUUUUUCUCUCAUUUUUUUGGUAGGCUCUUUGGCCUUAUAUAUAUAUAUAUUUAUUAUUAUUUUUUGGUGGGCAUCUUUGGCCUCUUUUUGUAAAUGGGCUUCGCUGGCCUCUUUUAUUUCCUCACAUGGGACAAUGCUCCAUCAAUGAUGAUCAUCACACUUACAACUCAAAACUUAGAGCAAUGAUGACUCUAUAUGGAAUGCCUUCGGUAGUGUACCGUGACAAUGAUCUAGCAUGGCAUAGACAUCUAUGAGAACAUCAUGCUAGCUAUCUUAUGAUCAUGCAAUGGCAAUGUAGAAGUGGUGGCACAUGUCAUGGUGGUAGUUGCAUGGCAAUAUAUCUCGGAAUGGCUUUGAAAAAGCCAUAGUAGGUAGGUAUGGUGGCUGUUUUGAGGGAGGCUAAUGGUGGGUUUUGUGCACCGGCGAAAGUUGCACGACACUAAAGAAGAUAGUGAUGGUGGAAGGUGAAAGUGCAUCUAAACCAUGUACUCAACAUUAGUCAUGAAGAACUCAUAUACUUGUUGCAAAAGUUUUAGUAGUAAUCGAAACAAAGCAUUCAACGCAUACUCCUAGGGAAAGGGUUGGUAGGUAUAAACCAUCGCGCGAUCCCGACCGCCACACAAAGGAUGACAAUCAAUAGACUAAUCAUGCUCAGACUUCAUCACAUAGCGGUUCACCAUACGUGCAUGCUACGGGAAUCACUAACUUCAACACAAGUAUUUCUAGAUCCACAACACCUUACUAAUACAACUUCAAUAUUACCACAACCACAACUCAGAACUAAUUGAAAUGAAUCAAACUUCUCUAACUAUUCAAUGCACAUGAAGGUGGAAGUUUUCAUAUCCCUUUGGAUAACUACCCAUUUUGAGACUAUUAUCAUAGCAUAGAUCAACUACCGAGCCACGCACUUCCGUGCUCUAAAAGAUAUAAGUGAANNNNNNNNNNNNNNNNNNNNNNNNNNNNNNNNNNNNNNNNNNNNNNNNNNNNNNNNNNNNNNNNNNNNNNNNNNNNNNNNNNNNNNNNNNNNNNNNNNNNNNNNNNNNNNNNNNNNNNNNNNNNNNNNNNNNNNNNNNNNNNNNNNNNNNNNNNNNNNNNNNNNNNNNNNNNNNNNNNNNNNNNNNNNNNNNNNNNNNNNNNNNNNNNNNNNNGAUAUAAGUGAAGCUCGACAAAAUCACGGUGAGUGCAUGUCUCUCUCUCUAGGUGUGCAAAAAGGAAGAUUGUGACACAACAAAAAUAAAAGGCUCAUACGAUACAAGACGCUCCAAGCAAAACACAUAACAUGUGGUGAAUAAAAAUAUAGCNNNNNNNNNNNNNNNNNNNNNNNNNNNNNNNNNNNNNNNNNNNNNNNNNNNNNNNNNNNNNNNNNNNNNNNNNNNNNNNNNNNNNNNNNNNNNNNNNNNNACACCCGUAAAGCUCCCGCCAUUGCACUGCAGCAGGCGCGCCUUCGGCGUCGUCGCCCCCCGUCCGAGCUGCUCCUCCUCCUCACCACACAGACGACGAUGAAGCCACGCCGGGAGCCGGCCCGCUAGGACCCAGAUGGGCCCCACAGGGCCCAGAUCUGGGCCGGGGGCGCGCCACCGACCAACCUGCGUCACCAUGCCGUCGCAUCGCCAAGGGGAAACACCACCACCUCGCGUGUCGCCGACCACUGCUGCCGGGUCACCGGACCGUCGUCGAACCGAGGAGCCCCGCCGCCGCNNNNNNNNNNNNNNNNNNNNNNNNNNNNNNNNNNNNNNNNNNNNNNNNNNNNNNNNNNNNNNNNNNNNNNNNNNNNNNNNNNNNNNNNNNNNNNNNNNNNNNNNNNNNNNNNNNNNNNNNCCGCCGCCGCCCCCAUGCCCCGGGCAGGGAGCCGCGCGCGCGGGGACAGGUAGUCCCGUCGCCGCCAACACCACCCGACCAAGCGCCGGGGACGACCGUCGGCGGCGGCAGGGAGGGAAGGAGGAGGAGGGAGGCCGAAGAGGGGCGGGGCUCGNGGGGGGAGGGGGGCGGGGACGGUCGGCGGCGGUGGUGGGAGGGAGAGAACCCUAGGAUGCGGGGGUCGCGGAGUCGCUCAGGAGAUCAGAAUCUAGCUAGUAUUACCAACANNNNNNNNNNNNNNNNNNNNNNNNNNNNNNNNNNNNNNNNNNNNNNNNNNNNNNNNNNNNNNNNNNNNNNNNNNNNNNNNNNNNNNNNNNNNNNNNNNNNGAGUUCAAAUAAGUUCAAAAAAAUGAAAUCCCUUUGUAACACAUGAGUUCUCGUUCGAAACCCUCAUACUUCGAGAGAGAUUGUCUGUUUCGUACACGAAGUGCAUCCAGUUUUUGUCGUCGCCCUCUCAACUUUUUAACACAUGCUAUGUGGGUGAAAUGAUGAUAGCAUGCCAACUUUCAACAUUUUCAGAGAUCAUUUGUAGUGCUUUCAAUUUUAGGGUCAACUAGCUCAAAAAAAAUAAGUAAAUGCACGAAAUAUACCAAAUUAAGUCAGAAAUUGUUGAAUUUUUGUGAUGUGCCUUUGAAUGGAGCAUUUUGAACACACAAAAAGUAUGGAGUUCAAAUAAGUUAAAAAAAUGAAAUCCCUUUGUAAGAGAUGAGUUCUCGUUCGAAACCCUGAUACUUCGAAAGAGAUUGUCCGUUUUGUACACGAAGUGCAUCCAGUUUUUGUCGUAGCCCUCUAAACUUUUUAACACAUGCUAUGUGGGUGAAAUUAUGAUAGCAUGCCAUCUUUCAACAUUUUCAGAGUUCAUUUGUAGUGCUUUUCAAUUUUAGGGUCAACUAGCUCAAAAAAAAUAAGUAAAUGCACGAAAAAUACCAAAUGAAGUCAGAAAUUGUUGAAAUUUUGUGAUGUGCCUUUUAAUGGUGCAUUUUGAACACACAAAAAGUAUGGAGUUCAAAUAAGUUCAAAAAAUUGAAAUCCCUUUGUAAGAGAUGAGUUCUCGUUCGAAACCCUCAUACUUCGAGAGAGAUUGUCUGUUUUGUACACGAAGUGCAUCCAGUUUUUAUCGUAGCCCUCUCAACUUUUUAACACAUGCUAUGUGGGUGAAAUGAUGGUAGCAUGCCAACUUUCAACAUUUUCAGAGUUCAUUUGUAGUGCUUUUCAAUUUUAGGGUCAACUAGCUCAAAAAAUAUAAGUAAAUGCACGAAAUAUACCAAAUUAAGUCAGAAAUUGUUGAAAUUUUGUGAUGUGCCUUUGAAUGGAGCAUUUCGAACACACAAAAAGUAUGGAUUUCAAAUAAGUUAAAAAAUGAAAUCCCUUUGUAAGAGAUGAGUUCUCGUUCGAAACCCUGAUACUUCGAGAGAGAUUGUCCGUUUUGUACACGAAGUGCAUCCAGUUUUUGUCGUAGCCCUCUCAACUUUUUAACACAUGCUAUGUGGGUGAAAUUAUGAUAUCAUGCCAACUUUCAACAUUUUCAGAGUUCAUUUGUAGUGCUUUUCAAUUUUAGGGUCAACUAGCUCAAAACAAAUAAGUAAAUGCACGAAAAAUACGAAAUGAAGUCAGAAAUUGUUGAAUUUUUGUGAUGUGCCUUUUAAUGGUGCAUUUUGAACACAAAAAAAGUAUCGAGUUCAAAUAAGUUCAAAAAAUUGAAAUCUCUUUGUAAGAGAUGAGUUCUCGUUCGAAACCCUCAUACUUCGAGAGAGAUUGUGUGUUUUGUACACGAAGUGCAUCCAGUUUUUAUCGUAGCCCUCUCAACUUUUUAGCACAUGCUAUGUGGGUGAAAUGAUGAUAGCAUGCCAACUUUCAACAUUUUCAGAGUUCAUUUGUAGUGUUUUUCAAUUUCAAGGUCAACUAGCCCAAAAAACAAAAGUAAAUGCACGAAGAAUACCAAAUUAAGUCAGAAAUUGUUGAAAAUUUGUGAUGUGCCUUUGAAUCGUGCAUUUUAAACGUACAAAAAGUAUGGAGUUCAAAUAAGUUAAAAAAAAUGAAAUCCCUUUCUAACAGAUGAGUUCUCGUUCGAAACCCUCAUACUUCGAGAGAGAUUGUCUGUUUUGUACACGAAGUGCAUCCAGUUUUUGUCGUAGCCCUCUCAACUUUUUNNNNNNNNNNNNNNNNNNNNNNNNNNNNNNNNNNNNNNNNNNNNNNNNNNNNNNNNNNNNNNNNNNNNNNNNNNNNNNNNNNNNNNNNNNNNNNNNNNNNCUUUGCUCAAGUUACCACUGCUCUCCUAGGUACAAAUCUGCCACUACUACCGUUACUAGUACUCUUACUUUGCUAUCACGAUUAUCAUAUUACUAUGCCACUCAUAAAUUGCUGCAAGGAAUUGAUUUUCGGGUGUGGUUGAAUUAAUAACUUAAUUUCUAAAGCUUAUAAAUAUUCUUUGGUUUCCCUUGUGUCAAAUCAAUAAAUUUAGAUGAAAUACUAAACCGUCGUACACAUCCACCACGGUUGUUGUGUUGCAUUCUUCCUCCACUGUGACAGCCUAGUGCCGCCGACUACCUCCCCAUGGCUACAUCAACGUCGCCAAGUACCUCUUAGAUGCCCGCCCAUCGCAGCCUCCCAUCAUUUCCGCCACUAGCAAUGUCCGCAAGAAGAGGCCCAUCGACCAUGAAUCCCCAAGAUAUAGAUAAAAGAGGAUCAGGAUUGCCACUGACUUAAUCACAAUGGCACACUUCACGAGAGAACAUGCACAUAUCAUUGAUGGCCGCUGUGGUAAGGCAUUGAACAGAUGGCGGCAGGAGGAUGCAAUGAGUACCUCUUCUAUGCGUAGGGAGGGCGACACGGCCAUGGUGAUAGAGAGAAACAAGGAGAGUGGGAGGGAGAGAGGGAGAGAGAGAAGUUACAUAGUCUAGAUUUUUCUAUUAAGUACAUGGGUAUUUAUAGAUUUUAUUACUUGCACAAAAUAUUUAAAAGAAUGCAUUUUGAAACAUGGGUCAACUUGAGAGCUCUCUAUCGAGAUAUUUAGGAUCUGAUUGGAUCGAGUUUAAUAUUUGUGCCCCACAGAAAUAUUAUGCCGAAUUCAAGCGGGCCCAUAGAGAAACCAAAAUAGACAAAAGCACCAAUAUAUAUUUGAAAUAUGCUCUUUUAAGAAAAUGAUCUACAAAUUUUCGGUAAAACUAAACAAAGUAGUAGAUAAUAUCUCGAAUAAAAACCACUAUAAAAAAACUUCUGUAAAUAUAUGCUUUAAAUUAUUGAAAUUGUAUAUUUAUUAACAAUUAUUGCCAAAUAAUAAUGAAAUAUUUUACCUUAUUAUUGGCUUGUAACAUUACAAAGUUGGUAUAUAUAAUAUAAAUAUUUACUAGCUAACAUGAUAUGUUAAAAAAAACUAAUUGUUAAUAGGAAGAAGUAAACAAGUUCAGUCUAAAUAAGUGAUAGUUGUGUGUCAAAAUGAUGUGAAAUAAGAGUGGAUGCAAAGGGGAAGAUAAAUAGUCACUUAAUUUGCUUAUGAUUAACCAAUCACUUCCAAUGAGAGAUGAACAGACUUAAAAGAAGAGAUGUAAAGGAGUGGACCUGUAACGUCCUAGAUGUGGUCUUAUCCUUAUUUUGGCGUGAGGGCCUCGAUAGGGAUAGAAACACAUCUCAUCGUUUCGCAAGAAUGGAUAUUGUUACAAGUACAUGUACUGAAAAGUUGAGUAUAAGUAUUUGGCUUACACUCGCCACAAGCUACAUCAAGAUCAUAUCAAUACAACAAUAUCUAGUCAUCAUGAAGAAGAGCAGGGUCCGACUAUGGAUGGAAACAAACGAUAAAAGAACGACGUCCAUCCUUGCUAUCCCACACUGCCGGCCUGAAGCCCAUCCUAGAUCGAAGAAGAAGAAGAANNNNNNNNNNNNNNNNNNNNNGAAGAAGAAGAAGAAAACUCCAAAUAACACAAUCAGCGCGCUUACGUCAAAGUAACUCUUUACUUGUACCUGCAACUGUUGUUGUAGUAAUCUAUGAGCUAUAGGGACUGAGCAAUCUCAUUUCCAAACGUAUCAAGACUAGCAAAGCUCAAUGGGUGAGGCAUGGUUAAGUGGUGAGGCUGCAGCAAGCGACUAAGCAUUUAUUUGAGGUGGCUAACUUACGAGUACGAGAAUAAAGAAGGGAAGUGAUCUACACAUAAUAGGACGUGAACUAAUAAUGAUCAAAUGAAUGAUCAUGAACGCCUACUUACGUCAGACAUAACCCCACCGUGUCCCUGAUCGGAGAAGGAGCUCACAAAAGAGACAGUCACGGUUACGCACUCAGUUGACAAGUUUUAAUUAAGUUAACUUCAAGUUAUCUAGAACCGGAUGUUAAACAAAGUUUUCAAGAUUGCCACAUAACCGCGGGCACGGCUUUCCGAAAGAUAUAACCCUGUAGGGGUGCUCCAACAAGUCCAUCACAAAUAACCACAAACCGCAUAGAAAGCCUCGAUCACGAAACUCGUGAUCUCCUCGGAUUCCUUAGUGGAAAACCUCAACUGUGAGAUAGCCCAAAGAAUCACUGGAAUCCCGAUGCACAAGAUAUUUCGUAAAUGGUAAAACAAAUCCAGCAAGGCCGCCCAACGUGUCGACGAACCCGAUAGAAGCCGCGUAUCUCGUUCUCAGGACACGACCGGAGGGGAAAGCCUACGAGUAAAACCAAACCUCGAGUUGCCCCGUGGUGACCCCACAGUUUGCCCUUUUUGGACAACACUCAUGAGGAG
RNAcentral lists this long non-coding RNA (21278 nucleotides) under Hordeum vulgare. RNAcentral's name for it is "long non-coding RNA (HVUL_LNC017144)". The record is from RNAcentral. Lineage: Eukaryota; Viridiplantae; Streptophyta; Magnoliopsida; Poales; Poaceae.